GACGAACCGUGCGAACGUUGUUCGGAUUCACUGGGCUUAAAGGGCGCGUAGGCGGCUUGCCAAGUCAGGGGUGAAAUCUUUCGGCUCAACCGGAAAAGUGCUUCUGAUACUGGCGGGCUGGAGGAGGGUAGGGGCAGAUGGAACUUCCGGUGGAGCGGUGAAAUGCGUAGAUAUCGGAAGGAACGCCGGUGACGAAAGCGAUCUGCUGGACCCUUUCUGACGCUGAGGCGCGAAAGCCAGGGGAGCAAACGGG
This 253-nucleotide ribosomal RNA is filed under the name uncultured bacterium. RNAcentral's name for it is "partial 16S ribosomal RNA". It matches the Rfam family "Bacterial small subunit ribosomal RNA", at positions 524 to 776 of the family's 1533-position model. The record is from RNAcentral.